UACGUAGGGUGCAAGCGUUGUCCGGAAUUAUUGGGCGUAAAGGGCUCGUAGGCGGUUUGUCGCGUCGGGAGUGAAAUCCACUGGCUUAACUGGUGGCUUGCUUUCGAUACGGGCAGACUGGAGGUAUGCAGGGGAGAACGGAAUUCCUGGUGUAGCGGUGAAAUGCGCAGAUAUCAGGAGGAACACCGGUGGCGAAGGCGGGUCUCUGGGCCGAUACUGACGCUGAGGAGCGAAAGCGUGGGGAGCGAACAGG
Molecule: ribosomal RNA, 253 nt
Filed under: uncultured bacterium
Lineage: Bacteria
Description: partial 16S ribosomal RNA
Rfam family: Bacterial small subunit ribosomal RNA
Source: RNAcentral